GCCCGGCCCCUGCUCGUGGACAUCGCCCAGCUCGUGCUCGUGGACGUCACCCGAUCUGCAGCAAGGUGAGCACCACAUCCCCUAGAAUCAUGGUAGCCUAGAAUCAUGGUUUAGGAGCUUUGAGUCAUGGAUUAGGAUUUGGAAUCGCCAAUCUGUUUCUAUGCAAUCAUGAACAAAAACUCUCUGUCUAGAUGGAGAACAAAGGAAAGGGCAGGGGAAAGAGCAACGAAACUGAAAAGGUUGUAUGCCAAGCAGAUUGGGAAAAUCCUGAAAUGACUACAAUUUUUCGUAACAUUGUUGUUGAGGAGAUUGAAGCUGGGAAUACUGAAAUGACUACAAUUUUUCGUAACAUUGUUGUUGAGGAGAUUGAAGCUGGGAAUAGGCAUCUACGUACACUGAAUGCAAGAGGCUAUAAGAACUUGC
This 423-nucleotide long non-coding RNA is filed under the name Setaria viridis. RNAcentral's name for it is "long non-coding RNA (SVIR_LNC010055)". Lineage: Eukaryota; Viridiplantae; Streptophyta; Magnoliopsida; Poales; Poaceae. The record is from RNAcentral.